AACAGUUCGAAUGGGGAAUUUAUUAAGGUUAACCAAAUUUAAAAAUUUAAUACAACAAAUAAUCAAAUAUGAAUUAUACAAAAUAAAUAAAGAAAAGAAUUUUGGGCUUCUUAUCUGGUCCAUUUUGAAAGUUGUCGAGAUUUGAACUUGAGCUUUUAGCUCAUUUUCCAGCAAUGUAUAUCAGUUGUAUAUCAGCUCCUCUUUGUUCACGUUUUGGCUGUAUACAUACUGUAUAUCAGCUUGCGAAUUCAUAUACCAGCUUCCCUAGACCGAUCUUUUAUCCUUUUUAUUCGUAUAUCAGCUUUCAAGACCUGUGUAUAGCAUAUAUCUGUUACAUAUCUUUGUAUACAACCUUGAUCUUCUUGAUUUUUAGUCCAUUUUUUGGGACUUGGCGGAGGCUUGGGAAUUGGUCCCGAAUAAAUGCAGAGGUAUGGAGUCCAACGGGACUCAGAUCAAUGUCACAUGCCACAAAGAAAAUAUAAAAAUUAAUAUAUGAAUCCCAACAAGAAUCAACUAAGGAAAUAAUGAGGAAGCAUUCCAUGUUGAAUUUAAAUGAGCACAUAUACAAUACGAAAAUGAUAUGUUUGUUAAGAAACCAAAAUUAAAUACCCUUGAAAAUUGUACAUUUCAAUUGAACAAGUGUAUUUAAAACAUGAAUCCAACAAGCACACAUUUAGUUAUCAUAUAGUCGAAAUGUGUUUUAAGGAGAAAAGCUCACUUUUUACCAUGAUCAGAUAAAUUUCAUUAAGAUACUGCCUCCCAUUUUCAUAAAGCAUGUAUCAAAAUUCUUAAUUGCUUAAAAAUUAGAGAUAAGAAACAACGAGGGACACUAAAACAACCCUUCAUAUUUUGAAGAAUUAAGCAGAUAUUGCUAAGAAUGAAACUCAAAUACACUUCCUGAAUAUUUUGGGCAAACAUAGGUAGAUAAUGAUGCUCAAACCAGUAAUGCUAUGAGUAACAGGGAAUCUAGAAUAUGCUUUUGCACUAAAGUAACAAACUUGCUAAGCUCCACAUGCAAUGGACCAUUAUUUCAUCAGAUUAAUGAAGGAUAAAUCAAUGAUUUAAGCUAACAAAUACUAAAAGAAUGCUAGUCAAGUUUCCAAAUCAGUUUCGAAAUAGGAAUAACCAUAAGAAUGACAACCAUAAUAGCUACUUUUAGAAUUGAAUUAAGCUAGAUAAAAUAAGUUUAUUCUACUUCAAGCUUUAAGCUAAAACCAAUAACGAGAUCUAAACUUAAUACCAACGAGACAAACGCUUCAUCCCCUCCUUGCAUAAGCCAAGCAAAUUCUCG
RNAcentral lists this long non-coding RNA (1291 nucleotides) under Capsicum annuum. Its description in RNAcentral is "long non-coding RNA (CANN_LNC008854)". The record is from RNAcentral. Lineage: Eukaryota; Viridiplantae; Streptophyta; Magnoliopsida; Solanales; Solanaceae.